RNAcentral lists this small RNA (1024 nucleotides) under Pongo abelii (Sumatran orangutan). RNAcentral's name for it is "processed transcript". The record is from RNAcentral. Lineage: Eukaryota; Metazoa; Chordata; Mammalia; Primates; Hominidae.
CCCAGCAAAGAGCAGCACACAGCUGAAAGAAAAACUCAGAAGACAGAGCUGAAAAAGAAAACUGGUGAUGGAUCUCAUUCCAAACUUUGCCAUGGAAACAUGGGUUCUCGUGGCUACCAGCCUGGUACUCCUCUAUAUCACUCUUUCCAUUUCUUACCCCAGUUUUUGAAGCCCUAAAUAUCGGUUUGUUUCCAAAAGAUGUUACCCGUUUUUUAAAAAAUUCCAUUGAAAGGAUGAAAGAAAGUCGCCUCAAAGAUAAACAAAAGCACCGAGUAGAUUUCUUCCAACAGAUGAUUGACUCCCAGAAUUCCAAAGAAACAAAGUCCCAUAAAGCUCUGUCUGAUCUGGAGCUUGUGGCCCAGUCAAUUAUCAUCACUUUUGCUGCCUAUGACACAACUAGCACCACUCUCCCCUUCAUUAUGUAUGAACUGGCCACUCACCCUGAUGUCCAGCAGAAACUGCAGGAGGAGAUUGACGCAGUUUUACCCAAUAAGGCACCUGUCACCUAUGAUGCCCUGGUACAGAUGGAAUACCUUGACAUGGUGGUGAAUGAAACGCUCAGAUUAUUCCCAGUUGUUAGUAGAGUUACGACAGUCUGCAAGAAAGAUAUUGAAAUCAAUGGAGUCUUAAUUCCCAAAGGGUUAGCAGUGAUGGUUCCAAUCUAUGCUCUUCACCAUGACCCAAAGUACUGGACAGAGCCUGAGAAGUUCUGCCCUGAAAGGUUCAGUAAGAAGAACAAGGACAGCAUAGAUCCUUACAGAUACAUACCUUUUGGAGCUGGACCCCGAAACUGCAUUGGCAUGAGGUUUGCUCUCACAAACAUAAAACUUGCUGUCAUUAGAGCACUGCAGAACUUCUCCUUCAAACCUUGUAAAGAGACGCAGAUCCCACUGAAAUUAGACAAUCUACCAAUUCUUCAACCAGAAAAACCUAUUGUUCUAAAAGUGCACUUAAGAGAUGGGAUUACAAGUGGACCCUGACUUUCCCUAAGAGCUUCCACUUUGUUCAAGAAAGCUGUAUCCCA